RNAcentral lists this long non-coding RNA (1185 nucleotides) under Gallus gallus (chicken). RNAcentral's name for it is "lncRNA (ENSGALG00010016084.1)". The record is from RNAcentral. Lineage: Eukaryota; Metazoa; Chordata; Aves; Galliformes; Phasianidae.
GGCACGGCCCGGGAGAGGGAGGCGGGGAGAGGAGAGCGGCGGGACUCCGGCCCCGGCAGUGCGCGCAGCCAGCCCGGCAGCCAAGUUCCCCGCCGGAGUUAGUGUAUAAAGGAUACCAUAUAUGCACACACACAUACGCACACCUCUCCGGCAAAGGCGCUCCUCCUCCGCCUCCUCCUCCUCCUCCCUCGACCAACUGCUGGAAUUAAAAUAAAAAAAAAAAAAAAAAAAAGGGGGGGGGGGGGGAAGAAAAAAAAAAAAGCAAAACAAACACCAAAAAAAAAAAAAAAAAGCGAAACGAAACGGGAGAGAGAGAACGAGAGAGAGAGAGAGAGCGCGAGAGGGAGAAACAACCCGCGAGGUGCCGAGAGAACCCAACUUCGGGAUUUUUCCUUUUCUUUUUUGACUUUUUUUGUUUUUUUGUUUUUUUUUUGUUUUGUUUUUUUUUUCCUUCCUUUCUUUAAUCCGAACGCCUCGAGGAGACGCAGGGAGAGACCAUGCCUGGCGCCGGCCGGGGCUGCGGAGAAAGGGCAGCGGAGGGGAGCUGCCUGAACGGGGCACCGAGCGCUCCGGCGGCGGAGCAACUUUGAGAAAUGCAGCGUCGCCGCCAGCAGCAUCACCGCGGGAAGUUUGCUCCGGACGCCGGCGAAACUUGCGAAUAAAAGAGCGAACCGACAGCGAGGAGGAGAGGAGAGCCGGAGAGAGAGGACGAGAGAUCCCCCCCCCCCCCGCGUCCCCCCCCCCUCCUCCCGCUCCGCGCCGGGAGGAGGAAGAGGAGGAAAAGUUUCGCUCGGAGCGGGGAAGGCUGCGCGGCGGAGAUGUACUCCUAGGGGAGCGCCGGGGCGAAGCGCGGGGGCUCGCCGGUCCCCCCCCCCCCCCCUCCCGGCCGCUUUUUAGCCUUUGUUUGGUUUCCUCCCCGCGAGCGGCGGCAAAGUCGGGCGAGAAGAAGGCGGAGGAGAGAAAAGCGCGAAUCUCCUUUUAUUUUAUUUUUUUUUUCCCCCCCGGAAAACGAGAGAGAAAAGCCAAAAAAAAAAAAAACCCACCAACAAAAAAAACCCGACACCGACAAAAAACAACCACCGCCGAGGACCCCACCGUCAUCGCCCCGGCGGCACCGAGCGGCGGCAGGCGAGCGGUCCCGGCGCUCGCCCAGCGCAGGACGGCCGGCGGACGGGCGGAGCGGAG